This 443-nucleotide long non-coding RNA is filed under the name Octopus vulgaris (common octopus). The record is from RNAcentral. Lineage: Eukaryota; Metazoa; Mollusca; Cephalopoda; Octopoda; Octopodidae.
CGAUCGCUGACUCGCAGUUUCUAUCUGAACAGGGUAAGUUGACAAAGAUUUACUUUAAGGCUUUAAUGAUGAUAAUAAUACUAAUAAUAAUAAUAUUGUAAAUCAUAGAAUUCUGUGAAUCUUUCGAUGUUACAGUAAUUAUUUCGAAGCGAAAACAUAAAAAUAUAAGGAAAAUAUAUUAAUUCGUCUUAAAUAAUAUUUUCUUCUUUAGAUACAAGACCUGAAAUUUGAGGGAGGUCAAUAGUCGAUCACAUCGGCUACAAUAUUUAACUGGUACUUAAUUUAUCGACCCAGAAGGAAUAAAAGGUUAAAGUCAGCCUCGACGGAAUUUGAACUCAGAACGUACCUCGUCUUAAUUAAUAACUUCCAAACUGAAAUGUUGGUUUGUUGUUUGUGAAAACCUAUUAUCGGAUGUUAGAUGUGAUAUAGAGGAAAUUUAUUUG